UACGUAGGGUGCGAGCGUUGUCCGGAAUUAUUGGGCGUAAAGGGCUCGUAGGCGGUUUGUCACGUCGGGAGUGAAAACUCAGGGCUUAACCCUGAGCCUGCUUCCGAUACGGGCAGACUAGAGGUAUGCAGGGGAGAACGGAAUUCCUGGUGUAGCGGUGAAAUGCGCAGAUAUCAGGAGGAACACCGGUGGCGAAGGCGGGUCUCUGGGCAGUAACUGACGCUGAGGAGCGAAAGCGUGGGGAGCGAACAGG
RNAcentral lists this ribosomal RNA (253 nucleotides) under uncultured bacterium. RNAcentral's name for it is "partial 16S ribosomal RNA". It matches the Rfam family "Bacterial small subunit ribosomal RNA", at positions 524 to 776 of the family's 1533-position model. The record is from RNAcentral.